CACGUAGGGUGCGAGCGUUGUCCGGAAUUAUUGGGCGUAAAGAGCUCGUAGGCGGUGUGUCGCGUCGGCCGUGAAAACCUGCAGCUUAACUGUGGGCUUGCGGUCGAUACGGGCAUCACUGGAGUUCGGCAGGGGAGACUGGAAUUCCUGGUGUAGCGGUGAAAUGCGCAGAUAUCAGGAAGAAUAUCCGUGGCGAAGGCGGCUCUCUGGUACGGCACUGACGCUGAGACGCGAAAGCGUGGGAGCAAACAGG
Molecule: ribosomal RNA, 253 nt
Filed under: uncultured bacterium
Lineage: Bacteria
Description: partial 16S ribosomal RNA
Rfam family: Bacterial small subunit ribosomal RNA
Source: RNAcentral